Molecule: long non-coding RNA, 519 nt
Filed under: Helianthus annuus (common sunflower)
Lineage: Eukaryota; Viridiplantae; Streptophyta; Magnoliopsida; Asterales; Asteraceae
Description: sRNA HanXRQr2_Chr10g0452931
Source: RNAcentral
CAGAGUAAUCUUUGGAAUGCCCUCCAUUUAUAGCAACCUUUGUUCUUGAAAAUUCCAAGCCACUUUGUGAAAUGGAUAAUGGUCCACGUAUUUACAUCGAUUAAAAGUUAGGAAGCAUCAUGAUGUAUAUCCAUCAAAAGAUUAUGUAUUGCAACGUUGAUUUGAAUGUUGGUCAAUUAUUGUUUCUACCCAGGGCACAAAGACUAUAUAUUUUUGGCCAGCAUCAUUAAAAAAAGAGCAAUAUCACCACAAAAUGUUUCAAUCUAAAUAGAUAGAGUUUCUGUCUGUCUUCGUUCAGCAAAAAGAGAUGAAAAUCUAAAUCAUAUAUUAUAUAGUGACAUGAAAUACUCAAUUACCACAUUUCCAUAGCCACUCUUGACAACACUACUUUCACCAUCACAUAUAAGUAACACAAAAUAUCUCAUAUCAGUUUCGACAUUCAAUACUAGCUAGUUCAACCUUCAACAGUUCAACUUACCAUAUGAGGCAAUCCAGUACUAUCAUGAUAAUCUCUAAUAG